This 506-nucleotide ribosomal RNA is filed under the name uncultured bacterium. RNAcentral's name for it is "bacterial SSU rRNA". It matches the Rfam family "Bacterial small subunit ribosomal RNA", at positions 26 to 518 of the family's 1533-position model. The record is from RNAcentral.
GCUAGAACGAACGCUGGCGGCGCGUCUUAAGCAUGCAAGUCGAACGGCAAGAGGUAGCAAUACCUCCUAGAGUGGCGGACUGGUGAGUAACACGUGGGUGACAUACCCUUCAGAUGGGGAUAGCUAUUAGAAAUAGUAGAUAAUACCGAAUACGAGCACAGGGGUUAGAGAUCUGUGAGGAAAGGAGCUAAGGCUCCGCUGAAGGAAUGGCCUGCGGCCCAUUAGCUAGUUGGUGAGGUAAGAGCCCACCAAGGCGAUGAUGGGUAUCCGGCCUUAGAGGGUGAACGGACACAUUGGGACUGAGAUACGGCCCAGACUCCUACGGGAGGCAGCAGCUAAGAAUAUUCCGCAAUGGACGAAAGUCUGACGGAGCGACGCCGCGUGGAUGAAGAAGGCCGGAAGGUUGUAAAAUCCUUUUGAAACUGAAGAAUAAGCGUUGUAGGGAAUGACAGCGUGGUGACAGUAGGUUUUGAAUAAGCAACGGCUAAUUACGUGCCAGCAGCCGC